GAUGAACGCUGGCGGCGUGCUUAACACAUGCAAGUCGAACGGAAAGGCCCAAGCUUGCUUGGGUACUCGAGUGGCGAACGGGUGAGUAACACGUGGGUGAUCUGCCCUGCACUUCGGGAUAAGCCUUGGAAACUGGGUCUAAUACCGGAUAGGACCACUUCUUGGAUGUUGUGGUGGAAAGUUUUUUCGGUGUGGGAUGAGCUCGCGGCCUAUCAGCUUGUUGGUGGGGUAAUGGCCUACCAAGGCGUCGACGGGUAGCCGGCCUGAGAGGGUGUACGGCGACAUUGGGACUGAGAGACGGCCCAGACUCCUACGGGAGGCAGCAGGGGGGAAGAUUGAACAAGGGGCGCAAGCCUGAUGCAGCGACGCCGCGGGGGGGAAGACGGCCUUCGGGUUGUAAAAUCCUUUCGCUAGGGACGAAGCGUUUUGUGACGGUACCUGGAGAAGAAGCACCGGCUAACUACGUG
RNAcentral lists this ribosomal RNA (467 nucleotides) under uncultured bacterium. Its description in RNAcentral is "partial 16S ribosomal RNA". It matches the Rfam family "Bacterial small subunit ribosomal RNA", at positions 28 to 507 of the family's 1533-position model. The record is from RNAcentral.